GUGUCAGCAGCCGCGGUAAGACGUAGGAUGCGAGCGUUGUCCGGAUUUAUUGGGCGUAAAGAGUUCGUAGGCGGUUCGUUAAGUUCGAUGUUAAAGACCGGGGCCUAACCCCGGGACUGCAUUGAAUACUGGCGGACUGGAGUGCGGUAGAGGCAAGUGGAAUUCCCAGUGUAGCGGUGAAAUGCGUAGAUAUUGGGAAGAACACCAGUGGCGUAAGCGACUUGCUGGGCCGUAACUGACGCUGAGGAACGAAAGCCAGGGUAGCGAAUGGGAUUAGAUACCCCCGUAGUCC
RNAcentral lists this ribosomal RNA (292 nucleotides) under uncultured bacterium. RNAcentral describes it as "partial 16S ribosomal RNA". It matches the Rfam family "Bacterial small subunit ribosomal RNA", at positions 505 to 796 of the family's 1533-position model. The record is from RNAcentral.